UUUGUUGAUCACAGCAAUAGUGAGUCCUAAGCAUGCACUUGUAACCUUUUUAAUCGACACCGGUGCACAGAUUUCUGCUCUAGGCAAAGUAGAUGCUAAAAGGUUUGGGGGUUCUCCCUUAAAGUGACAUUUUUGCAUCCUCAGUGCCUUAGAGUUGACAGAACAAUACCCCCUUCCCCUGGGUGCCAAGGUUAACUCAGAGUGUACCUGGGAGAAAGGUUUGUUUGUUGGUAGCUUGGCUCUGGUAGAAGUAGAGAAGAUUACGGGACAGCAGCCAACUGUAUCAAGAAGUCCAUUUAAAGUCAUAAGAACAGUCACUACUGGGACCCCUCUCCCUGACCGGGUGGCCCAAAAGGCCUCAGUACGAAAGUGGUAUGCUCAGAUUGAACACUAUUGUAACAUUUUCUCACUGUCUGAAAGAGCUUUUAAAAACCUAGCUAGACAAGCUGUGGGCUGGGUGGCUUCUCAUCAGGUAGAUGAGAGAUCCGCAGGAGAAUGGAAUAACCGAGCUGAUGAAUUAGCAAGACUGGCCCCUGUACAAAAGGACCAAAUUUCAGAAGACUGGGAACGCUUGUUAGAAUGGUUACACGUAAAGCACAAACACACUGGAGCUAAAGACUUGUAUCGUGAAGCCUUGGCCAGCGAACAAUGUCGAAGACAGCUUGAAAAGCACCCUAUAGAAGACAACCCUCUACAUUUAAGUGAGGGUAAAGGUUUGUGGGAUGCCUAGCAAGUGAAUUAUUUUAUCCCUUUUAAGGAAACAGGGCUAGUGGGGGGGGAAAUAACCCCAGGAUCAGUCCAAGCUGAAGCUUUUGUCAGGGCUACAGGUGAAAACACUGUGAAACCAUUGCGAGAAUGGUUUGGAACUUUUCCAAACUCACAAGCUGCACCCGCUGGAUAAUUCCAUCAUUCUAAUUAUUCUUGCCUUGAGGAGGCGAGCCCCGUUUGUUUUCCUUUUUGCAGGAGAACUCCGAGGGACACAGAGAAUAACAUGAAUCAUUCAAGAACCAAAUCUGAAGGCCUACAUUUUAAAAUGACCAAUAGUGCAAUUAAGUUGCUAAUACUUUCCUACAUCUUUUCACUUACCUACUAUAGUAAUUGAAUAGGAGUGGGAUAGUAAAGAAUAAGUUAAAGAUCUAACUAGUGUGUUGGGGACAGGAUUGGAAGUCUUAAAUGGCAUUGAUUCAAAAAUAUUAAUGAAUAAAUUGUUUACCAAAAGUAAAUAUAAAAGAUCACAAAUUGUGGUACAUAAUAACCUUCCUUUGGCUCUCAGUUGUUUUCAGGCACAACUGUGGAUGCAAUCAGUGGCCGCCUCGAUCAUAAGGGAAGGUGAAGAAGGCACUUUUCCUACCGAAAUUCGGAAAAUUGUUUGGGACAGCGCCACUGAAUUUGAGAGAGAACUCCCAUCCUGGUGGACUUUGGUAAACUUUACCUAUAACCCCAACACAAACACAGCCACAACCUUUGUGUUAGCCAUACACAAUGCUUCAAUAUACAUAAUUUACCCAAUCAUUGCAUUAGGGUUGAACCACAACGGAACUGUACUCUGUCCUUUCGAGCAUAGAGUAUGGGCCCAAAAAAUAGAUGAGAAAUGGCAAACUGUCAAUUUAGAAUCUUGCAUUGUGCGAGAACAGCAAGGAUUCAUCUGCGAAAGUAAUACAAUCAGUGCUCAAGACAUUUGUCUGGACGCUGAGCAGAAUGUUUGCCACUUUGAGGUUCAUCCUGACAAUCGAGAAACGGUACUAGUGUGUAUUGGCAAAGGUUGUGUGUGCUUGAGGACUGCUUGCAACUCUAUAUUAGUAGAUAUGGUGACGGUAAAUAUUAGAAAUCAUUCAAAUUUUUGUGUUUGUGAUUUUGUUAAGAUUAAUGGAUGUGAUUUUUCUUAUCUAGCACCAGUUAUAUCUCAUCAACUUAUACAAUCUAAUUACACACUGAUUCAAGAAUUACUGCCUACACCUAUUGGGAUGAAUCUUUCAUUGGUAAAGCAAUUGUUGCAACACCAAGACCUGAUCGAGAUCUUGGAAGAAGUUCGAGUAAAUGGACAGAAAACCUUGAUAACCGCUCACCACGAUGCUGAAGAAAUUCACCUUGUGUUAAGAAGAAUAGAAAAAGAUGCAGAACAUAAGUGGUGGAACAUGCUUUUCAGGUGGUCACCUACUGCUACAGGCAUCCUGAACAAGUUGUGUCACCCCAUCGUUGUUCUUUUUGUAUUAAUUUUGAUAAGUUUUGUUCUGUCCACGGUACUGUAUAUUUUAAAUUAGAAAAUGGUAAAGCGUUUGACGCUUUUAACAUCUGUGAUUGAUGCCCACAAUUUGUUUAGUGUACCUUCCAAUGUAGACAUCCCUAAAUUUAUUGAUACAAAGCGGAUCGCGUGAUAAAUGACUUACCUUUUCCUUUCCCUUUUCUUCCUUCUUACUUUCUGUCUCCCUUUGAGGAUUGUGUUGUUGCCACGAAUUCCCAUUGACGAUGCUCAGUCACAGGGUGGUGUGAGAGUCAGUCCGAAGAUGGAGCAGUAUUUGCCUGAACAUCGCCAUCAAGAACUUAGAGAACUGAAGCUGAGACCAAAAGAACAGAUGGACAGUGACUUGGAGAGAGGCCCAAGGAGAAGCAUUGUGUUGCACUGUUUCUCCGAUAAGGGGGGGCUGCUGCUAACAAUGGCUGUCGUGUGGACUUUGCCUGCUGCUUCAGCCGAACCAGCCCCCGCCUCCUGAAAGCUAUUGUUAUGAGGGUCUCUUCAACCCAGGGACAAUAGCUGCCGUCCAGAAGAUGUGUUCUCACCUGCAGCCUCAGUUACACGUGUUCCUCACCUGCUCCCUCAAACAAUGGCCAACGAAAAGGAGCAUGCUCAGAAGCUUGCCAAGGGCCCUGAGGUCACCCAAUGGACCAGAGAAAGACCCCUGAAUGCUGGACACGUAAGCGCUGGCAAAAGAAAGCGUGAAUCUCUCGAGCCUGCGCAGUACGAGCCUGGGUUGCGAAGUCUAGGCGGAGACUGGCCUCAAACAAUGGGAGCAAGGGGGGUGAAGAAGCAUAAAAGGUGACUCCAGAAUGGACACUGUUGAAGAUCUUCCCACCAGAGGAUCCCAAACCACGACAGAGGACUGGCCGGACUCCACGGGACCGGAGACCAGAGGGACGCUUCUGGAACUGGACUGGUGAGAAACGCAACCUCAUUUCUCAUCUUUACCUUUACUUUUCCCCAUUUCUUUCCCCUUUUUUUUUCUUACUCUCUCUCUCUCUAUCACGUGCCGCUUUAUGGGCAAAUUAAUAAAGUAACACUGCUUGAUUGAAUUAUAACCCCUUGGCAUUUUGGUCGCCUUAAUUUUGUGCUCUGAGAUCAAGGUAAAAGAACCAUCACGAGUCCAUUGCCGAAUGGACAGUGACACUGUAGAGCUGAGUCUUACCUGCAUUUGAGCUGUGUGCCUGAAUUGUUUUGUGUUAACUGUAAGUUUUGGAGAGAGUGGGGAUUGUAUGUUGUGAGUAGCUUUUAGUAGUAUCUGUGGAGUAUUGAUGUAUGUAUUAAUACUCCUAGUUUGCAUUUGUUAUGAGCUGUGUUGUUCUGUAUUAAGCAUAAUGGGAGGACAGCAUAGUAGUGGUAUUCUGAAAAGAGCUUGUUAGGGUGUGUUUUAGCUCACAGGAAAGAAAUUGAGGAACCACCUGGUGAUAAUGUGAAUAGAGAAACCUCGAUGAAAUAUUAUAAUCAGUGGCCAUUGUACAAAUUUGAUGAUGAGAAAAAGUGGCCUCAAUGAAACUUUGAGUUAUGGUACUUUAAUGCUAUUGUCGAAGAGAGAAGGAAAACGGAGUCAAGUUAUGUAUGCUGAUAUAUUUUUCACUUUGUGAAAUCACUCAGAGUGGCAGAAAGAAUGUGGUAUUAAUUUGGCACCACAGGAUUCUUUUUUUUUAACAUUGGAAAAGUAGCCAAACAAAGUACGAGGGAGCCGAAACAAUGUUGUUCAGUAUGUAGAAUAAGACAGAAAACUCCCUGAUGAGAGGGGAGGAUAGCAUAGUAGAUUAUGUGCCCCCACUGGGGGGGGGGGGGUGGUAGAAUUGAAGAUUAUGUGCCUUCACCUUCCGAGGUGGCAGAUGAUGAAGCUUCAGAGACAGAAGAGGAAAACAGGGAAAAGAAAUUGAAUUUUUAAUUGCUACUGGAGCAUCUUAUUUGGUUUUUGGAAUUGAUACCUUUAGAUAAAGAUUUUUUAACUGUAGUGGAAGCUACUGGCCAACAAGAGAAAUCUUUCUUUUUCUUUUGACAGUCAAUCAAAUAUAAAUUGAGAAAACAAAUUGGAAUUCAGAAGUUCUUAUAUAUGCCUGGGUCUCCAAAACUGUUAUUAAGAUGAGACCUAUUAGAGCAAUUGAAAGCAAUAAUAAUAUUCAAACAAAGUGAAAUUCAAGAUAAAAAAUUGAGAUUUUGAAUUUGGCAAUGAUUCAAACUGACCAGCAAAGCCAAAUACCUCAGGAAAUAUUGGAUCAAGUAUUUCCAGGGGUCUGGGCUUCAAGAGCUCCUGGUAAAUCAAAGAAUGCAAAACCAGUGAAAAUUAAAUUGAAACCUGGAGGUGGACCAGUCAGAAUCAAACAAUAUCCCCUGAAAUUAGAGGAUAGGGGAAAAACAAAAUAAUAAAAAAAAACAGUAACUUCCUGCAGUUUGGACUGCUGAUGGAAUGCGAAUAAAGAAACAAGAUGGUAAAAGCUAUAAAGUUAGUGUAGGAUUUCAGAGUAAUAAAUAAAAUUGCACUCAAUAGUAGCUAAUCCUUACACAUUGUUAACCAAAUUAUGAGACAAUCACAAAUAGUUGACUGUGUUGUAUUUGAAAGAUGCCUUUUCUGUCUUGCAUUAGACAAUGAGAGUCAGAAGCUUUUGAGUGAGAAAAUCCCAAUACUGGGAGAAAAGCCCAAUUAACCUGGACAGUGUUACCCCAGGGAUAAGAACUCAAAGCCUAGGAAGCUCUUCCAGGAAAUGGGACCUUGUUAUCUCCUUAUAGCCACAAAAACCGAAGAAGAUUGUGUGCAAUGGACUGUAAGUUUACUAAUUUUCUGAUAUUAAGCGAGUAUCGAGUUUCCCAACAGAAAGCCCAACUGAUGCAGUACCAAGUGACUUAUCUGAGAUUCAAGAUCUCUGGAGGACAGGGAGAGCUGGGAAUGGAGCGAAAAGAAGCUAUCUGCCCGACACCAGAACCUGCAAUGGUAAAAGAGCUCCGGACAUUUCUUGAAAUGACAGAGCCUGUGGUCCACAAUUGCUUGGAAACAAUAGAAACUGUCUACUCCAGCAAACCAGAUUUAAAGGAACAGGCACUGAAAGAUGCUGAAGAUUCCCAGUUCACCAACAGAAGCAGCUUUGUAAAGUGAGGAGUAUGUAAAGCUGGGUAUCCCAUAACAACUACCCACAAGGUCCACCUUUAAAAGAAAAGUAGAAUGGACUGUUCCAGGUGUUGCUGACGGCCUUUACUGCAAUUAAGAUUAAAGAGCAACCUGCCUGGAUUCACUAUUAAAGAGUGAAGAAAGCACCAGUAGACCUACUGCUUCCCAGUUUUCCCAACGUUGAUCUUAGUGAUUCUAAAAGUAUAACUGCAGUAAUAAAUGCUUUUAUUUCUAGUUAGCUUUUACACAAAUCUUUAAUGAAAACUAUUAUAGCCCAAAGUGAACUAAAAGAAAUGUCUGCACAGGUUGAAUCAGAAACUGCAAAAUAUUCCUUGUUGGCAUUAUUGGUGAUAAUUAUAGUCUUGAUAGUAGUCUUAUACAGUACUGAAAUAUGAGCAAUUGCAAAUCCUUUUGGGAAUAAACUGAAGUAUUACAUGAAGUCACAAAAAAUAUACAUCUUGUGACUCUAAUUUUAAUACUAGUAAUUUUGACUUGCAUUAUGCUACAAUGUUCUAUUUGGUACUGCUAUCAAGUAACAGAGAAUUAUGCCGUACCGCAACACGAGAUGCUAAUAUUUUGUAGAUCUAUAUUGCAAAAGAAUUUGCAAGUGUAUCAAAAAGGGGGGAAAUUAAGAGAAGCUGCCAAAUUCAUGUAACCAAUUGACAUGAGAUAAAUGCUUUCUGACCACCUGCAAAAUGAGGGGAUAUUUUUCAAGUUUUAGAUCCUUCUGCAUGACAGGAGGGAGACAGAAGAUUAAGCGAUACAUUGUUUAGAAGCAGAGUGCUUAGUUUAUAUUUAACUAAUAAUUAAUAGGUGUAUUGUAAGCAAGAAACUAAACAAUUAUAUCUAACAUCAUCAAUUAUUUCUUAGUGUAGAUGUAUUGUAUGUCAGAAUUUUCAAAAACUGUAAUGCAUAUGUAAUAAUUAUGUGAAUAUAAGCAAUGCAAGAGAAUUCAGUCAU
Columba livia (rock pigeon) is the source of this 6311-nucleotide long non-coding RNA. RefSeq lists it as uncharacterized. NCBI's taxonomy places the organism in Eukaryota, Metazoa, Chordata, Aves, Columbiformes, Columbidae. The record is from RefSeq and is a predicted model, not a curated record. The transcript has 3 exons.